This 406-nucleotide ribosomal RNA is filed under the name uncultured bacterium. Its description in RNAcentral is "partial 16S ribosomal RNA". It matches the Rfam family "Bacterial small subunit ribosomal RNA", at positions 30 to 526 of the family's 1533-position model. The record is from RNAcentral.
AUUGAACGCUGGCGGCAAGCCUAACACAUGCAAGUCGAACGAGUGGCGGACGGGUGAGUAAUGUCUGGGAAACUGCCUGAUGGAGGGGGAUAACUACUGGAAACGGUAGCUAAUACCGCCUACCAUCGGAUGUGCCCUGAUGGGAUUAGCUAGUUGGUGGGGUAUAGGCUCACCAAGGCGAAGAUCCCUAGCUGGUCUGAGAGGAUGACCAGCCACACUGGAACUGAGAAACGGUCCAGACUCCUACGGGAGGCAGCAGUGGGGAAUAUUGCACAAUGGGCGCAAGCCUGAUGCAGCCAUGCCGCGUGUGUGAAGAAGGCCUUCGGAUUGUAAAGUACUUUCAGCGGGGAGGCGUUACCCACAGAAGAAGCACCGGCUAACUCCGUGCCAGCAGCCGCGGUAAUAC